RNAcentral lists this ribosomal RNA (752 nucleotides) under uncultured cyanobacterium. Its description in RNAcentral is "bacterial SSU rRNA". It matches the Rfam family "Bacterial small subunit ribosomal RNA", at positions 8 to 804 of the family's 1533-position model. Lineage: Bacteria; Bacillati; Cyanobacteriota. The record is from RNAcentral.
AGAGUUUGAUCCUGGCUCAGGAUGAACGCUGGCGGCGUGCUUAACACAUGCAAGUCGAACGAAGUCUUCGGACUUAGUGGCGGACGGGUGAGUAACGCGUGGGAAUCUGCCUUCAGGAGGGGGAUAACAGAGGGAAACCUUUGCUAAUACCCCAUAUGCCUACGGGUGAAACGAAUUUCGCCUGAAGAUGAGCCCGCGUCUGAUUAGCUAGUUGGUGGGGUAAAGGCCUACCAAGGCGACGAUCAGUAGCUGGUCUGAGAGGAUGAUCAGCCACACUGGGACUGAGACACGGCCCAGACUCCUACGGGAGGCAGCAGUGGGGAAUUUUCCGCAAUGGGCGAAAGCCUGACGGAGCAAUACCGCGUGAGGGAGGAAGGCUCUUGGGUUGUAAACCUCUUUUCUCAGGGAAGAACUUAAUGACGGUACCUGAGGAAUAAGCAUCGGCUAACUCCGUGCCAGCAGCCGCGGUAAUACGGAGGAUGCAAGCGUUAUCCGGAAUGAUUGGGCGUAAAGCGUCCGCAGGUGGCAGUGUAAGUCUGCUGUUAAAGAGUCUGGCUCAACCAGAUAAAGGCAGUGGAAACUACACAGCUAGAGUACGGUAGGGGCAGAGGGAAUUCCUGGUGUAGCGGUGAAAUGCGUAGAGAUCAGGAAGAACAUCGGUGGCGAAGGCGCUCUGCUAGACCGAAACUGACACUGAGGGACGAAAGCUAGGGGAGCGAAUGGGAUUAGAUACCCCAGUAGUCCUAGCCGUA